Long non-coding RNA from Carcharodon carcharias (great white shark), 327 nucleotides. RefSeq lists it as uncharacterized. The record is from RefSeq and is a predicted model, not a curated record. The transcript is spliced from 3 exons. Lineage: Eukaryota; Metazoa; Chordata; Chondrichthyes; Lamniformes; Lamnidae.
ACCAGGCCAUAAUGCUAAAUAAAAGCCAGAAAGUGCCGGGAAAGCUUAGCAAGUCUGGUAGCAUCUGCGGGCAGAGGGACAGCGUUAACCUUUCGAGUCCGUUUCCAACGAGUCUUAGAUCCACAGGGUAAGACAAGACUCUUCAGAUGAGACUCUGAGAAGCAAACUGGCAAUAAGUACCAGAAGCUUCUGCGAAAUAGAUUGCAUUAUGAUAGAACAUAUAAAGAAGAAAAAGAAUGGAGUCAAUUAUCACGAUCUCCUGCUGUAGCUCUGAUAUACUUCAUGCAGUUGAGCUCUACAAUUAUUUCACUGACUGAAUGUAGUUGA